AAACCCUGAAGGAGCGACGCCGCGUGGGGAUGAAUGGCUUCGGCCCGUAAACCCUGUCAUUUGCGAUCAAACCUUACGACCUAACACGUCGUAAGCUGAUAGUAGCGGAAGAGGAAGGGACGGCUAACUCUGUGCCAGCAGCCGCGGUAAUACAGAGGUCCCAAGCGUUGUUCGGAUUCACUGGGCGUAAAGGGUGCGUAGGCGGUCGGGUAAGUCUGACGUGAAAUCUUCAAGCUCAACUUGGAAACUGCGUCGGAUACUAUUCGGCUAGAGGAAUGGAGGGAGACUGGAAUACUUGGUGUAGCAGUGAAAUGCGUAGAUAUCAAGUGGAACACCAGUGGCGAAGGCGAGUCUCUGGACAUUUCCUGACGCUGAGGCACGAAAGCCAGGGGAGCAAACGGGAUUAGAUACCCCGGUAGUCCUGGCCCUAAACGGUGCACGUUUGCUGUAAGAGGAAUCGACCCCUUUUGUGGCGAAGCUAACGCGUUAAACGUGCCGCCUGGGAAGUACGGCCGCAAGGUUA
This 523-nucleotide ribosomal RNA is filed under the name uncultured Verrucomicrobiota bacterium. RNAcentral describes it as "bacterial SSU rRNA". It matches the Rfam family "Bacterial small subunit ribosomal RNA", at positions 378 to 896 of the family's 1533-position model. The record is from RNAcentral. Lineage: Bacteria; Pseudomonadati; Verrucomicrobiota.